CACCUCCACCCUUUAGUUCACCACCACCCUUUAGUUCACCUCCACCCUUUAGUUCACCUCCACCCUUCAUCCGCAACGCACAAUCCGCCAGAGAAGCGUCCUCAAGCGGAUCUGGAUCCAUAAAAACUCUUUUCUUUCACUCUUUUGUGUUAUUUUUUUUGUUUCCUUUUGUUUCCUCGUGAGUCAAACCGGAGAAACAGGAAGUGAAACGUUCUUCACUUCCUGGUUUCAUCGUCCAGCUUCCAUUCUGCACAAUGAGGUCGUGCGUCGUUCUUCUCUUUGCUUCUCUGCUCACAUUAUGUGAAGCACAAGGAACCAUUGUGACUCCUGUGUUUGUGCUGAAGGGACGUGAUCUGCUCCUCAAGCUUCAUGCUGAUCCUCCUGAGAGGGUUUCAUUUGUUGACUGGAAAAUCAAUGAAACAGUCAAUUUAGUAAGAUUUGAACCUAGUGGAGAAUCACAUGUCGAUCCACAUUUCACUGGAAGGGUUCAGUUUGGUGAGAAUAAAUUCUCUGUGAUGUUGAAGAAUGUACAAGAGGUCGACAGUGGACUUUAUUCUGCUGAAGCACGAAUACUUCAAGAAGUCAAACUACUGACUGAAUACAAGGUCACAGUUCAAGGACCAGUGUCUCCAGUUGAAC
Molecule: non-coding RNA, 639 nt
Organism: Gasterosteus aculeatus aculeatus (three-spined stickleback)
Lineage: Eukaryota; Metazoa; Chordata; Actinopteri; Perciformes; Gasterosteidae
Source: RefSeq, a predicted model, not a curated record